GCGGGUGUAGUUCAAUGGUAUAACGCAAGCCCAAGCUUGACACGAGGGUUCAAUUCCCUUCACCCGCUCCA
This 71-nucleotide transfer RNA is filed under the name Opitutia bacterium TMED67. Its description in RNAcentral is "Opitutae bacterium TMED67 tRNA-OTHER". It matches the Rfam family "tRNA". From Rfam's summary of the family: Transfer RNA (tRNA) molecules are approximately 80 nucleotides in length. Their secondary structure includes four short double-helical elements and three loops (D, anti-codon, and T loops). RNAcentral also lists the same sequence under 2 other names. Lineage: Bacteria; Pseudomonadati; Verrucomicrobiota; Opitutia. The record is from RNAcentral.